Molecule: ribosomal RNA, 253 nt
Filed under: uncultured bacterium
Lineage: Bacteria
Description: partial 16S ribosomal RNA
Rfam family: Bacterial small subunit ribosomal RNA
Source: RNAcentral
GACGAACCGUACGAACGUUAUUCCGAAUCACUGGGCUUAAAGGGUGCGUAGGCGGCGCUGAAAGUAGGGUGUGAAAUCCCUCGGCUCAACCGAGGAACUGCGCUCUAAACUACAGUGCUUGAGGGAGACAGAGGUGAGCGGAACUUAGGGUGGAGCGGUGAAAUGCGUUGAUAUCCUAAGGAACACCCGUGGCGAAAGCGGCUCACUGGGUCUCUUCUGACGCUGAGGCACGAAAGCCAGGGUAGCGAACGGG